RNAcentral lists this transfer RNA (85 nucleotides) under Deltaproteobacteria bacterium. RNAcentral's name for it is "tRNA-Tyr". It matches the Rfam family "tRNA". Rfam says of the family: Transfer RNA (tRNA) molecules are approximately 80 nucleotides in length. Their secondary structure includes four short double-helical elements and three loops (D, anti-codon, and T loops). RNAcentral also lists the same sequence under 2 other names. Lineage: Bacteria; Pseudomonadati; Myxococcota; Myxococcia. The record is from RNAcentral.
GGAGAAGUACCCAAGUGGCUAACGGGAGCAGACUGUAAAUCUGCUGGUUGAGAGACCUACGGGGGUUCGAAUCCCUCCUUCUCUA